GCCUAGCUGGCUCAGUCACCAGAGCGUAGGACUCUUGAUCUCAGGGUUGUGAGUUCAAGCCCCAUGUUGGGUG
Molecule: transfer RNA, 73 nt
Filed under: Ailuropoda melanoleuca (giant panda)
Lineage: Eukaryota; Metazoa; Chordata; Mammalia; Carnivora; Ursidae
Rfam family: tRNA
About the family: Transfer RNA (tRNA) molecules are approximately 80 nucleotides in length. Their secondary structure includes four short double-helical elements and three loops (D, anti-codon, and T loops).
Source: Rfam by way of RNAcentral